This 492-nucleotide ribosomal RNA is filed under the name uncultured bacterium. Its description in RNAcentral is "partial 16S ribosomal RNA". It matches the Rfam family "Bacterial small subunit ribosomal RNA", at positions 29 to 507 of the family's 1533-position model. The record is from RNAcentral.
AGUGAACGCUGGCGGUAGGCCUAACACAUGCAAGUCGAACGGCAGCACAGUAAGAGCUUGCUCUUACGGGUGGCGAGUGGCGGACGGGUGAGGAAUACAUCGGAAUCUACUUUUUCGUGGGGGAUAACGUAGGGAAACUUACGCUAAUACCGCAUACGACCUACGGGUGAAAGCAGGGGAUCUUCGGACCUUGCGCGAUUGAAUGAGCCGAUGUCGGAUUAGCUAGUUGGCGGGGUAAAGGCCCACCAAGGCGACGAUCCGUAGCUGGUCUGAGAGGAUGAUCAGCCACACUGGAUCUGAGACACGGUCCAGACUCCUACGGGAGGCAGCAGUGGGGAUUAUUGGACAAUGGGCGCAAGCCUGAUCCAGCCCUACCGCGUGGGUGAAGAAGGCCUUCGGGUUUUAAAGCCCUUUUGUUGGGAAAGAAAAGCAGCAGGUUAAUACCCCGCUGUUCUGACGGUACCCAAAGAAUAAGCACCGGCUAACUUCGUG